GCCCAUAGCUCAAUUGGUAGAACGUUUAACUUCUAAUUAAUAGGUCACAGGUUCUAGCCUGGGGUGGGCA
RNAcentral lists this transfer RNA (70 nucleotides) under Schistocephalus solidus. It matches the Rfam family "tRNA". Rfam says of the family: Transfer RNA (tRNA) molecules are approximately 80 nucleotides in length. Lineage: Eukaryota; Metazoa; Platyhelminthes; Cestoda; Diphyllobothriidea; Diphyllobothriidae. The record is from Rfam by way of RNAcentral.